This 1048-nucleotide long non-coding RNA is filed under the name Equus caballus (horse). RNAcentral's name for it is "lncRNA (ENSECAG00000049443.1)". The record is from RNAcentral. Lineage: Eukaryota; Metazoa; Chordata; Mammalia; Perissodactyla; Equidae.
GUCUGCUGGAGGAAAGGGCAUCUCCUGCUCUUUUGAGGGCUGUUAAAUAUAACAUCCGAAUGGAUAAUGAUAUCAUGGGAUCCUCAACACCAUCGUGACCUAUUAGAGUCAGGUCAUGUGAGUCCAGGUGAUAAAUGAGGUCAUAAUGGCAGAGAUUAGUACAGACCUCAAGGACUAAAAGAUUCAGAGGUGUCAAUCCUCUUCAUAUUUCCAUUUAAUUCAUGGGUCUGACCCCCACAAAUACAGAUAUUACCACAAUUGAUUCCAUCUCUUCUGCUGGAAGGUGGAAAACUUCAAAGGUGUAAGCAAUCAUGAGCCUUUUACAAAAGAGAAAGAAUGAGGGUCCCUAUGGCCUGCAGAGCCUUUUCUGGGAACUUCUAGGCUGUUCCAUGUUCCAUGUUCUAGACUGUUCUAGGCUGUGCCAUGGAAAUAUAACACGAGCCACCAAUAUGAGCCACCUGUGUAAUUUAAAAGUUUCUACUAACUACAAUCAAAAGAGCAAAAAGAAACAGGUGAAAUUAAUUGUAAUAUGUUUUAUUCAACCCAACAUAUUCAAGCUAUUAUCCAUGUAACAUGUAAUGAAUAUAAAAUUCAUUAAUGACAUACUAUUUCCAGUGACUUUUCUUCAUACUAUAUCUUCGAAAUGUGUGCUUUAUACUUACAGCACAUCUCAGUUCCGACUAGUCACAUGGCAAGUGCUGAGUAGCCACACAGUGGGCAGUGGCUGUGGACAGUGUAUUCUAGACCAUCUCCUGCAACCAGAAGGGGAGCCCUGGUGCUUUUUUCAAAACCUGGGAGCAAGACUUGUCGCCUGCUGAUGUCAUUUAGUCACUUGUUCCCUGGGGCUUAAUUCUAAUAUUCCCUCUGAGCACAAGUCCCUGUCCAGGUAAUCCCACUAGACUUUACACAGAAAUAAACGCCCUCCCUUCAUGUUUCACAUGAAAGCCCUGGGGGAUCCUGAAACAAAAGAGUGGAAUUUGCAUGUGUUGUUCAUUCUUCCUCAAUUAUAUAUGCAGAUAUCUUAAACAAACAAAAAAAACACUACCUU